CCAGACUCCUACGGGAGGCAGCAGUGGGGGAUAUUGCACAAUGGGGGGAACCCUGAUGCAGCGACGCCGCGUGGGUGAAGGAGUGCUUCGGCAUGUAAAGCCCUAUCGGCAGGGAAGAAGCAAGACGGUACCUGACUAAGAAGCCCCGGCUAACUACGUGCCAGCAGCCGCGGUAAUACGUAGGGGGCGAGCGUUAUCCGGAUUUACUGGGUGUAAAGGGGGCGCAGACGGCAGCGCAAGCCAGGAGUGAAAGCCCGGGGCCCAACCCCGGGACUGCUCUUGGAACUGCGCGGCUGGAGUGCAGGAGGGGCGGGCGGAAUUCCUGGUGUAGCGGUGAAAUGCGUAGAUAUCAGGAGGAACACCGGCGGCGAAGGCGGCCUGCUGGACCGUAACUGACGUUGAGGCUCGAAAGCGUGGGGAGCAAACAGGAUUAGAUACCCUGGUAUA
This 447-nucleotide ribosomal RNA is filed under the name uncultured bacterium. RNAcentral's name for it is "partial 16S ribosomal RNA". It matches the Rfam family "Bacterial small subunit ribosomal RNA", at positions 331 to 794 of the family's 1533-position model. The record is from RNAcentral.